This 3661-nucleotide long non-coding RNA is filed under the name Sus scrofa (pig). RNAcentral describes it as "lncRNA (ENSSSCG00005010170.1)". The record is from RNAcentral. Lineage: Eukaryota; Metazoa; Chordata; Mammalia; Artiodactyla; Suidae.
GGAUUGUUUCUGUAUUUGUAAUUAAGUUUAUUUGUAUCAUUUUUUUCAGAUUCCACAUAUAAGUGAUAUCACAUGGUAUUUAUCUUUCUAAGUCUGACUUACCUAACUUAGAAUGGUAAUCUCUAGCCCAUACAUGUUGCUGAAAAUGACAUUAUUUCAUUCUUUUCUACGGGUAAUAUUCCACUGUAUGUAUAUACCACAACUUCUUUAUCUAUCACUCUGUGGUUGGAUAUUUAGGUUGCUUCCAUAUCCUAACUAUUAUAAACAGUGCUGCAGUGAACAUCAAGCUGCAUGUAUAUUUUCAAAUUACGGUUUUCUCUUUUUUCCAUUGUAUAUUCUUGCCUCAUCUGUCAAAGAUUAUUUAUUUAUUUAUUUAUUUAUUUAUUUAUUGUCUUUUUUCCCUUUUCUAGGGCCACUCCCACAGCAUAUGGAGGUUCCCAGAAUAGGGGUCUAAUCAGAGCUGUAGCUGCCGGCCCACGCCAGAGCCACAGCAUUGUGGGAUCCAAGCUGCGUCUGCGACCUACACCACAGCUCACAGCAACACUGGAUCCUAAAGCCACUAAGCAAGGCCAGGGACUGAACCGGCAACCUCAUUGUUCCUACUCAGAUUCGUUAACCACUGUGCCACAACGGAAACUCCUCAUUUGUCAAAGAUUAAUUCACUAUAGGUGAGUGGUUUAUUUCUGGGCUUUCUAUUCCGUAACAUUGAUCUAUAUUUCUGUUUUUAUGCCAGUACCAUGUUCUUUUGUUGACUGUAGCUUUGUAAUAUAGCUUGAAGUCAGGGAGCCUGAUUCUUCCAGUUCCAUUUUUCUUUCUCAGGAUUUGCUCUGGCUAUCCAGGGUCUUUUGUGUUUUUAUAUAAAUUAAAGGAAAAAAUUCUAGUUCUAUGAAAAUCUUCAUUAGUAAUUUGAUAGCAAUUGCACACAAUCUGUGGAUAGCUUUGGUAGUAUAGCCAUUUUGAUGAUAUUGAUUCUUCCAAUUCUUCUAUUUGUGCCAUCUUCAAUUUCUUUCAUCAGUGACUUAUGUUUUUCCUCCCUAGGUAGGUUUAUUCCAAGAUAUUUUAUCUUUUUGAUGUGAUGGUAAAUGGGAUUGUUUCCUUAAUUUAUCUUUCUGCUCUUUUGUUGUUAGUGUAUAAAAAUGCAAUGGGUUUCUGUAUAUUAAAUUUGUAUCCUUCAGCUUUACUGAAUUCACUCAUAAGCACUAGUAGUUUUCUGGGGAUGUUAUUAGAAUGUUCUAUGUUUAAAAUCAUGUCAUCUGCAAACAGUGACAGUUUUACUUGUUUUCCUGUUUAGAUUGCUUUUAUUUGUCUUCUUGUAUGAGGGCUACAGGUAAGAUGUCCAAAAUAUGUUGAAUAAAGUGCCAAGAGUAAGCAUGCUUGUCUUCUUCCUGAUCUUAGAGGAAAUGCUUUCAGCUUUUCACCAUUGAUAUGAUGUUAUCUGUGGUUUGGUCACAUAUGUCUUUAUUAUGUUGAGGUAGUUUCCCUCUACGGCACUUUCUCAGGAGAGCCUUUAUCAUACAUGGAUAUUGAAUUUUAUCAAAACCCUCUCUGCCUCUAUUGAGAUUAUCAUGUUUUUUUCUCAAUCUGUUACUAUGAUGUAUCACAUUAAGUUAUUUGUGGAUAUGGAAAAAUCCUUCCAUCCACAGGAUAAAUACCACUUGAUCAUGGUGAAUGAUAAUUUUUUUGUGGUUUUCUAGAUUUGGUUUUCUAGAAUUUUGUUGAGGGUUUCUGCAUCUAUGUUCAUCAGUAAUACUGGCCUGUAAUUUUCUUUUCUGUGAUAUCUUUAUCUGCUUUUGGUAUCAGGGUCUCAGAAUGAGUUUCAAAGUGUUCAUUCUGCUGCAAUGUUUUGGAACAGUUUCAGAAGGAUAGGUGUUACUCUGCCAUCAUUUUAAAAAAAAAGUUAGUACCUGAAACAAAGCUAGACAUAUAAAAGGUAUAGAUUGAAUGUUUCUUGGAAGUAUAAAUGAGCAGUAAAUGACAAGAGGUCUUAGAAAAAGAAGCUAAGUGGAAAUCUUCUAAUGAUAUCAGCUUGUUAUUUUAGAUAAAUUUUUAAGUGUUUCUCUGAUUCAAAUAACUAUUUACUGGAUCAAAUGGUAGUUCUAUGUUUAGUUUUCUGAGGAAUCUCCAUACUGCUUUCCACAGUGGUUGCACCAAUUUACAAUCCCACCAACAGUGUAUUAGGGUUCCUUUUUCUCCACACCCUCUCCAGCACUUAUUGCUUGUAGACUUUUGGAUGAUGGCCAUUCUGGCUGGUACAAGGUGGUACCUCAGAGUGGUUUUGAUGUGCAUUUCUCUAAUAAUGAGUGAUGUUGAACAUCUUCUCAUGUAUUUCUCGGCCAUCUGUAUGUCUUCUUUGGAGAACUGUCUGUUUAGAUCUUCUGCCGACUUUUUGAUAGAGUUGUUUGCUUUUUUUGGUAUGGAGCUGUGGAAGGUGUCUAUAAAUUUUGGAGAUUAAUCCCUUGUCAGUCAAUUCACUUGGAAAGAUUUUCUCCCAUUCUGUGGGUUGUCUUUUAAUUUCAUCUAGGGUUUCCUUUGCUAUGAAGAAACUUUUAAGUUUGAUUAGGUCCCAUUUGUUUAUUUCUGUUUUUACUGUCAUUACUCUAAGAGGUGGAUCUGAGAAGAUGUUGUGUCAUUUAUGUCAGAGAGUGUUUGGCCUAUGUUUUCCUCUAGGAGUUUGAUAGUGUCUGUUCUAUAUAUCUAGGUCUUUAAUCCAUUUGGAGUUUAUUUUUGUGUAUGGUGUUAGGGAGUGUUCUAAUUUCAUUCUUUUCCAUGUGGCUGUCCAGUUUUCCCAGCACCACUUACUGAACAAGCUCUCUGUUCUCCAUUGUAUAUUCCUGCCUCUUUUGUCAUAGAUUAGUUGGCUGUAGGUGUGUGGGUUUAAUGUUGGGCUUUCUAUCCUGUUCCACUGAUCUAUAUUUCUGUCUUUGUGCCAGUACCAUACAGUUUUGAUGAUUGUUGCUUUGGAGUAUAGUCUGAAGUCCGGGUGCCUGAUUCCUCCAGCUUCAUUUCUCUUUUUCAGGAUGGCUUUGGCUAUUCUGGGUCUUCUGUGCUUCCAAACAAACUUUAAAAUAUUUUGUUCUUUUUACUUUUGUUUUGUUCUUUUACUUUUCUAAGGAUUUGUCCAUUUCUUCUAGGUUUUCUGUUUUAUUGGCAUAUAGUCUUUUUUCUCUUUCAUUGUUAGUGUAUAGAAAUGCCGUUGAUUUCUGUGUAUUGAUUUUGUAUCCUGCGACUUUGCCAAAUCCAUGGAUGAGCUCUAACAGUUUUCUGGUAGAGUCUUUAGAAUUCUCUACAUAUAGUACCAUGUCACCUGCAAAUAGGGAUAGUUUUACUUCUUCCUUUCCUAUUUGGAUUCCUUUUAUUUCUUUUAUUUCUCUGAUUGCUGUGGCUAGGACUUCCAGAACUAUGUUGAAGAGUAGUGGUGAGAGCAGAUAUCCUUGUCUUGUUCCUGAUCUCAGUGGGAAUUCCUUCAGCUUUUCACCAUUGAGAAUGAUGUUAGUUAUGGGUUCGUCAUAUAUGGCGUUUAUCAUGUUGAGGUAGGUUCCCGCUAUGCCCAGUUUCUGAAGGGUUUUUAUCAGCAAUGGGUGUUGGAUUUUGUCAAAGGUUUUUUCCACAUCUAUUGAGAGGAUCAUAUGGUUUUUAUUCUUCAGUUUGUUAAUGUGGUGUA